Long non-coding RNA from Cataglyphis hispanica, 1572 nucleotides. RefSeq lists it as uncharacterized. NCBI's taxonomy places the organism in Eukaryota, Metazoa, Arthropoda, Insecta, Hymenoptera, Formicidae. The transcript has 3 exons. The record is from RefSeq and is a predicted model, not a curated record.
CCUUAUCAGUGCGCUGCUGGAUUACCAGUACUCGCCCUUAGGUAUGCGAUUGCUAUGUCGUAUCAUGUGGAGACUCGGAUCUCCUUUUAUAUAUGUGAAUACUGGUAGGGAGUCGUCAACCCGUAGGAGGGGACCACGCCCUGUAGCAAAUAUUACAUAUCUCAAAGUGUUGACAUUGACAUUACGUUAAUGAGACGCUGCCACAUCGUACCCGCCUGAAUCUGCCCGAGGAGAGGAGAGAGAUGUUUUCCUCGUACCUGCCGAGGUCAGUUUUGCGUUGUCGGCUACUUCUUUGGCCGAGAGUCUCUCACGUUCAUCAUCGUCAAGAGCGACUACUGAUACAAGGGCUCAAUGUACUCUACCAGGAAAUACAGUGCGAUUCGCAGCGGAACAAAAAAUUGAUCAGCUUUGGCUGUUGAGAUUGCGUGUGAAAGAUGCGGCAUUUUUCUUAUACUUGUGUGGGCGUUUUAAUAACGGAUAGAUCACGCAACAACUUAGGGGAACAAAAGCCCUUUUCCUUGGAAUUCGAGAUAAUCUCGGCACGCCCGGUGACCCUAUUGUCUAUUAGUAGUAUAAGUGCACGAAGCACAAUCGAGCAUACGUAAUCCGUGGGCUGAGAAGCAUCGAUCUCGCGGCGAUCCAUAAAUGCCGAUCAGGAAGAUCGAAUGAUUAUAUGUCGUUAAGCGAACAGUGAAUUCUUCGCGUGUUAAGAUAAUUACAAGUUAAAUAAGAUGCUGAGAUUUACUUAUAUGGAAGAUUGCUUCAUUAUAGGAGAAAUCUAUUCAAAAUUGAUGAAUAAGUAAAAGAAAGAAUCUUUGAUACUAUAUUUAAAAUUAAUCAUAAAUAAAACAUAAUUAAAAUAAAAUAAAUACGUAUUAAAGGUUUAAUGUGUAAAAUUGACUACAGUGCAAUAAUCAUUUGUCAAAUCUGCAUUUUUUGUAGAUUAAAAAACUUAUUACAAUUAAAAUAACGUUUUAAAAUAUAUAGAGCUUAAUCUCGGAAUCAUUUGCUUGAAAGAAACAUGAAAUGUUGCGAACCUUGAAUUGAAUUUGACUGUGACAUAUUCAGAAUAGUUCGAGAUAUAGUUAAGUGAUCGGAUCAAUCAUUCAUCUGAUUAAUUCGCGAGUGCAAAAAGAGGAUAUGUUAUCCGAGCAGAUGUAUGUUGAUAGCGAAUGAAUAUAUUUUUAUGAUGUAAAUCAUAUUAUAGUGUAAAUUAUCUUUUACAGUUAAAAGUAACAUUCACAGGCAAAUAAACAAUAUUAUCUUAAUAUCAAUUAAGAUUUAAUUGUAGUACAUAUAUAUUGUCGUUAAUAUAAGAAAUAUUUAAUCUAUUUAGUGUGCGUUAGUGAUACCAUAAUGAAAUAAGAAAGAGAAAUCAGAUAAUAAAAAGAUGCUUUAUAUUUCUUAUGAUCUAAAACAUAUUUUAGAUAACAAUAAUCAUGAGUCUUGUGGUUCAGUCUGAAAGUUACGAUCGAAGCGAAAUACUAAAUAAUUUACGACGUAUCGUGAAACUCGAAGAGAGAUUACAUCAUGUACUACAUAAUAAAAUUGAGAAAUGCGUUCUUCACGAAA